RNAcentral lists this ribosomal RNA (206 nucleotides) under uncultured bacterium. RNAcentral's name for it is "partial 16S ribosomal RNA". It matches the Rfam family "Bacterial small subunit ribosomal RNA", at positions 116 to 334 of the family's 1533-position model. The record is from RNAcentral.
CGUGGAUAAUCUACCUCUUAGUGGGGAAGUAACUCUGGGAAACCGGAGGCUAAUACCGCAUAAGCCUGGAAAGGGAAAGUCGCAAGACGCUGAGAGAGGAGUCCGCGGCCGAUUAGCUAGUUGGCAGGGUAAAAGCCUACCAAGGCAUUGAUCGGUAGCCGGCCUGAGAGGGCACACGGCCACACUGGCACUGAAACACGGGCCAG